Molecule: long non-coding RNA, 205 nt
Filed under: Phoenix dactylifera (date palm)
Lineage: Eukaryota; Viridiplantae; Streptophyta; Magnoliopsida; Arecales; Arecaceae
Description: long non-coding RNA (PDAC_LNC016180)
Source: RNAcentral
UUUCCAAUUAAUUUUUGUUCAUCAUCUUGUAAUGUCAUCUCAUCAAUCUUUUCUUCAAGAAUUUCAGCAUCAUCAUCAAAAUUAACUCUCUUGCUAGAAGAGAUAUCACUAGAAUCAUCAAAAACAACAUGUAUGGAUUCUUCUAUAACUAGGGUUUGUUUAUUAAAGACUCUGUAGGCUUUACUAGUUGUAGAGUACCCCAAGA